Molecule: non-coding RNA, 328 nt
Organism: Mustela putorius furo (domestic ferret)
Lineage: Eukaryota; Metazoa; Chordata; Mammalia; Carnivora; Mustelidae
Source: Rfam
GGAUGUGAGGGCGAUCUGGCUGCGACAUCUGUCACCCCAUUGAUCGCCAGGGUUGAUUCGGCUGAUCUGGCUGGCUAGGCGGGUGUCCCCUUCUUCCCUCACCGCUCCAUGUACGUCCCUCCGGAAGCUGUGCGCUCCAAGAGGACAACCUUCCCGGAUAGAGGAGAGCAACAUUCUUCGGUCAAGGGUAUAGAGUAGCUGCGCUCCCCUGCCAGAACCUCUAAACAAGCUCUCAAGGUCCAUCUGUAGGAGAACGUAGGGUAGUCAAGCUUCCAAGACUCCAGACACAUCCAAAUGAGGCGCUGCACGUGGCACUCUGCCUUUAAAA